GCCUGCCCAGUGACUCUGUUUAACGGCCGCGGUAUCCUAACCGUGCGAAGGUAGCGUAAUCACUUGUUCUUUAAAUGAGGACUAGUAUGAAUGGCAUCACGAGGGUUAUACUGUCUCCCUUUUCUAAUCAGUGAAACUAAUCUUCCCGUGAAGAAGCGGGAAUAAAGCUAUAAGACGAGAAGACCCUAUGGAGCUUUAAACAAAAUAACAAUUGCUACUAUCAUUAUCUAUUUCAGAAAUUUAAAUUUUAUCUUAGCAUUAUGAUUAUUAGUUUUAGGUUGGGGUGACCGCGGAGUAAAAAUUAACCUCCGCAUUGAAAGGAUAAUUUCCUAAGCAAGAAGUUACGACUUUAUGCAUCAACAAAUUGACAUUAAUUGACCCAAUAUUUUGAUCAACGAACCAAGUUACCCUAGGGAUAACAGCGCAAUCCACUUCAAGAGCUCCUAUCGACA
RNAcentral lists this ribosomal RNA (452 nucleotides) under Ceratophrys cornuta group sp. ABGD cluster 3. Its description in RNAcentral is "partial large subunit ribosomal RNA". It matches the Rfam family "Bacterial large subunit ribosomal RNA", at positions 1857 to 2510 of the family's 2925-position model. Lineage: Eukaryota; Metazoa; Chordata; Amphibia; Anura; Ceratophryidae. The record is from RNAcentral.